Heterocephalus glaber (naked mole-rat) is the source of this 1471-nucleotide long non-coding RNA. NCBI's taxonomy places the organism in Eukaryota, Metazoa, Chordata, Mammalia, Rodentia, Bathyergidae. The record is from Ensembl.
CGCGCGCCAGGAGGCGGCUGUCCCCGGGGAGGGCCCAGCGCUCCGUCCCGCUCCUUUCCGGCCACCCCGCCCGAUUUUCCCUGCGAGGAGUCAGCAGCUUCUGGGUGGUUCCCCCUCGAAAGGCUCAGUGUGUGCGCGCGUGUGUGCGUAUGUGUGUGUGUGGGGGGGUCCUUUGCCCAAACCAAAUCCUCUGGUCUGCUCUUCCCAGCCUGGGAUUAGAAUCUGAGCCUCCCAAUUUGGCCAGGUUUGGGCGGACGUGCAGGGCUUCCGCUGCUCCCUGCCGCUCCCUGGGGACUGCCCGGGUGGCCAGGAUACCUAGUGUCAGCGGGUGCCAAGGAAACCGCCCGGAUCACGAGGGAACCUUGUGUCUGGAUGAGGAGGUGGUGAACAGCCUCUGGGGUGGAAGUGGUCCGGCCUGGGCAGGUCUCUAUCGCCCUCUGCUGGGAAAAUAAGAAAAUUGCUUUAAAUUCCCGCCAGCCUCUCCCAGAGAUUUGGGGAGGGAUGGCAAGUGGAGUGAGGCCGGGGCGGAAAUGUUAGGGAUAACUGUCCUCAUAAAACAGAUAGGGAAACUGAGGCUCGGAGAGGACAAAGAAUUUGUCCGUACUCCCACAGCUACUCUCGGGCGAGAAUUUGCAUUGACGACCCUCAUCGGGCAGCAGUUUUGGAAGUGAGCAGCCCAGUAGUUGACUGCUUCCCCCUGAGGGGUCCCUUUACCCGCUGCCUCCUCCGUCAGGCGUCGAUCACUGCAUCCCUUCGGCGGUGCCAAGUGUGAUUGGGGACCUUGUUUCAGCGGCUCUGAGAAGUCGAAACUAUUUUCAAACAAUAUUAGGCUAUUUGGUUUUUUCAUUCUUUCUCCUCCAAGCAUGUACAGGAGAAUUUUUUAAAGACCACAUGUCAUAUGUUGCUGCAAUAGGCUGAAUGCAGAGGGUCUUACAAAGUUUCUCAGACUGGCCUAGAACUUAUAGAUCCUCCUACCUCAGCCUUCUGAGCAGCUUCGAUUAAAGGAACCACAGCUUUAGACUUUGAUCUGACCUGGAGAUGGACUUACUUGGGACCUUUCAGGUGAAAUUACAUUAGGUGGCUGUUCAGUGUCAGCCAUUAGAGACCACGUACACAAUUAGGACCAGCUUCUCUCUGCUUGGGGCUAAGACUGCUAGAAGAAAUUGAGGGUCAGCCAAUUUGCACAUUGGGAGAGCGAAGGGAAGAAAGAAGAUUGACGUUGUGAAACCUCUGCCAGUUGAGUUCUACUGCCAAAGGAGGGAUUACAAACUCAAAUGCCUGCAGAGGUCAGGCAGGACACACAAACCAGAGAGCCUGGUGGAUUCCGGUGAAGAGACGCCCUCUUGCCCAAUGGAAAGGGGCAGCCAUUAGUCAGCUUUAACUCGUUGCUGCCAUAUUUGGCUGAGGAGGACCUCAUGGUGUCCAAUUUUCUCUCUUCCUUCUCUUCUCUUUCUCUUUUCCUCCUCUCCCC